GGAAAGGACCAGCCCUGAAUCAGAGCAGGGAGUCCGAGGCUGCAGCCACAGUCUACGCCCUCAUGGCUGAAGGGAAGCAGAUGGAUGUCCUGCCCCAGGAGACCGACCCCGGUGCCGAGGGACUCACCUGCGCCAAGCUGGACGGCCAGGUGCUGCAGGCCAAGCGGGGGGGCCCGGCCCCUGCCCCCGAGCCCGUC
This is a long non-coding RNA of Trachemys scripta elegans, 197 nucleotides long. RefSeq lists it as uncharacterized. The record is from RefSeq and is a predicted model, not a curated record. The transcript is spliced from 4 exons. NCBI's taxonomy places the organism in Eukaryota, Metazoa, Chordata, Testudines, Emydidae.